AGUCAUGGCCGUUCCAACAUAACAAACCGGAAUCUCUGGCAAAAAUUAGACAACCAAAAACAACUGGGACACAAUAUGGACUAAUGUUGGACAGACAAUAAUGUUGGAAGACAAUCUGUUAGGAAUCUGCGAAUGAUAUUUUUGUUUUGUAACAUGAUAAAUGUAUUGUAAGAAAUUAUGUGUCAUUAAAAAAAACAUGUCAUUUAUAAAUAA
Molecule: long non-coding RNA, 213 nt
Organism: Calliphora vicina (urban bluebottle blowfly)
Lineage: Eukaryota; Metazoa; Arthropoda; Insecta; Diptera; Calliphoridae
Exons: 2
Source: RefSeq, a predicted model, not a curated record